UACGUAUGGUGCGAGCGUUGUCCGGAUUUACUGGGCGUGAAGGGGGCGCAGGCGGCGCGCCAAGCCUGAUGUGAAAGCCCGGGGCUCAACCCCGGGACUGCAUUGGGAACUGGCGUGCUGGAGUGCCGGAGGGGCAGGCGGAAUUCCUGGUGUAGCGGUGAAAUGCGUAGAUAUCAGGAGGAACACCGGUGGCGAAGGCGGCCUGCUGGACGGAUACUGACGCUGAGGCCCGAAAGCGUGGGGAGCGAACAGG
Molecule: ribosomal RNA, 253 nt
Filed under: uncultured bacterium
Lineage: Bacteria
Description: partial 16S ribosomal RNA
Rfam family: Bacterial small subunit ribosomal RNA
Source: RNAcentral